RNAcentral lists this ribosomal RNA (520 nucleotides) under uncultured Glomus. RNAcentral's name for it is "SSU rRNA". It matches the Rfam family "Eukaryotic small subunit ribosomal RNA", at positions 569 to 1087 of the family's 1831-position model. The record is from RNAcentral. Lineage: Eukaryota; Fungi; Glomeromycota; Glomeromycetes; Glomerales; Glomeraceae.
AGCAGCCGCGGUAAUUCCAGCUCCAAUAGCGUAUAUUAAAGUUGUUGCAGUUAAAAGCUCGUAGUUGAAUUUCGGGGUUAGCAGGUCGGUCGUGCCAUCGGUAUGAACUGGUCUCGCUGAUCCCUCCCUCUUGACGAACUGUGAUGCCAUUAAUUUGGUGUCGCAGGGAAUCAGGACUGUUACUUUGAAAAAAGUUAGAGUGUUUAAAGCAGGCUCACGCUUGAAUACAUUAGCAUGGAAUAAUGAAAUAGGACGUUUGAUCCUAUUUUGUUGGCUUCUAGGAUUGACGUAAUGAUUAAUAGGGAUAGUUGGGGGCAUUAGUAUUCAAUUGUCAGAGGUGAAAUUCUUGGAUUUAUUGAAGACUAACUACUGCGAAGGCAUUUUGCCAAGGAUGUUUUCAUUAAUCAAGAACGAAAGUUAGGGGAUCGAAGACGAUCAGAUACCGUCGUAGUCUUAACCAUAAACUAUGCCGACUAGGGAUCGGAUGAUGUUAAUUUUUUUCAAUGACUCAUUCGGCGCC